GUGCCUAACACGUGCAAGUCGAACGGGCUGUAGCAAUACAGUUAGUGGCAGACGGGUGAGUAACACGUAGAUAACGUACCCCCCCGCUGGGAUAGCCACUGGAAACGGUGGGUAAUACCGAAUACUCUCACGAUGGGGCAUCCUGUUGUGAGGAAACUUUCAGGGCGGAGGGAUCGGUUUGCGUCCUAUCAGCUAGUUGGUGAGGUAAUAGCUCACCAAGGCGACGACGGGUAGCCGGUCUGAGAGGAUGAUCGGCCACACUGGCACUGAGAUACGGGCCAG
This 282-nucleotide ribosomal RNA is filed under the name uncultured bacterium. RNAcentral describes it as "partial 16S ribosomal RNA". It matches the Rfam family "Bacterial small subunit ribosomal RNA", at positions 44 to 334 of the family's 1533-position model. The record is from RNAcentral.